This 319-nucleotide RNase P RNA is filed under the name Bacteroidales bacterium. RNAcentral's name for it is "RNase P RNA component class A". It matches the Rfam family "Bacterial RNase P class A". Rfam says of the family: Ribonuclease P (RNase P) is a ubiquitous endoribonuclease, found in archaea, bacteria and eukarya as well as chloroplasts and mitochondria. The record is from RNAcentral. Lineage: Bacteria; Pseudomonadati; Bacteroidota; Bacteroidia; Bacteroidales.
CCGGCGGGCCGCUCUGUCGCCUUCGUUUUUCGGGGGAGGAAAGUCCGGACAGGAUAGAGCAAGGCUCUGUGGAAAGCACAGUCGGGGGAAACUUCGGGUAAUCCGUAACAGAAAAAAACCGCCUUCGGGUAAGGGUGAAAACGCGGGGUAAGAGCCCACGACCGUUAUUGGCGACAAUGACGGGGUACGGACAGCCUCCUGCAAGGCCAUGUAUACCGGCGUAUAGGACUGCUCGUCUGUUGCCGGGGGGUAGGCUGCAUCAGAUAGAUGACAGAGGCUCGUAAGAGUACAGAAUCCGGCUUACAGGCCCGCCUUUUUU